GCUCCCUUCGUCUAUCGGUCAGGACGGCAGCCUCUCACGUUGCAAAGGCGGGUUCGAUUCCCGCAGGGAGCGCCA
Molecule: transfer RNA, 75 nt
Filed under: Hyphomicrobiales bacterium
Lineage: Bacteria; Pseudomonadati; Pseudomonadota; Alphaproteobacteria; Hyphomicrobiales
Also listed under: 2 other names
Description: tRNA-Glu
Rfam family: tRNA
About the family: Transfer RNA (tRNA) molecules are approximately 80 nucleotides in length.
Source: RNAcentral